GACGAACGCUGGCGGCGCGCCUAACACAUGCAAGUCGAACGAGAGAUGAAGAGCUUGCUCUUCAAAUCGAGUGGCGAACGGGUGAGUAACGCGUGAGGAACCUGCCUCAAAGAGGGGGACAACAGUUGGAAACGACUGCUAAUACCGCAUAAGCCCACGGCUCGGCAUCGAGCAGAGGGAAAAGGAGCAAUCCGCUUUGAGAUGGCCUCGCGUCCGAUUAGCUAGUUGGUGAGGUAAUGGCCCACCAAGGCAACGAUCAGUAGCCGACCUGAGAGGGUGACCGGCCACAUUGGGACUGAGACACGGCCCAAACUCCUACGGGAGGCAGCAGUGGGGAAUAUUGCACAAUGGGGGAAACCCUGAUGCAGCGACGCCGCGUGGAGGAAGAAGGUCUUCGGAUUGUAAACUCCUGUUGUUGGGGAAGAUAAUGACGGUACCCAACAAGGAAGUGACGGCUAACUACGUG
This 466-nucleotide ribosomal RNA is filed under the name uncultured bacterium. RNAcentral's name for it is "bacterial SSU rRNA". It matches the Rfam family "Bacterial small subunit ribosomal RNA", at positions 28 to 507 of the family's 1533-position model. The record is from RNAcentral.